AGGUAAGGACCCCUCACUAUCCAUUUGUUUGACCACCCAUACAUGAAUCACCCCCCCUCCCCUCUUACCUAGAAUUUGUAAAUCGAUGAAAACCUUUGACCUUUUGGGAUUUUUCCUCGCUCUACAAGGUUCCUUCCUAGGUUCUAUCUCUUUGCCUCUUUUUCCAAGUUCUACCUGUACUAUACAAACACUUACUCUAUUUACCCUAAUUUGAUCCAUU
RNAcentral lists this long non-coding RNA (220 nucleotides) under Lathyrus oleraceus (garden pea). Its description in RNAcentral is "Pisum sativum (pea) long non-coding RNA (PSAT_LNC023380)". The record is from RNAcentral. Lineage: Eukaryota; Viridiplantae; Streptophyta; Magnoliopsida; Fabales; Fabaceae.